CUUCUCUCGAUAUUUGUGAUCAGUUGCAGUGUAGUGGUGUAUUUGUUGGUGCUCUGAUUGAGCGUGCUAGAAACCCUAGGAUAGAAAUUUCUAAUAAUGGCUUCCACUUCCGCUCCCCAGCCCUCGCGUUCGCCUUCUCCUUCUCCUCAUGCUUCUUCAUCUUCUUCCUCCCAGCUCCAAGGUCUCGAAAACCUUCCUUCCCCCUCUGCCUCUCACGAUUCCCAAGCUACUCCGAGUCCUUCCCGACCUAAAAAGAAAACCAGAAAGACACCCCAACCUCCCAAGUCUAUUCCUGAGUCCCGCCUUAGCGUUGCGGAGAUGGAAAAGAUGAAGGCCAAAUGCGUAACCCCGCAGACCUGAAGUUUGAACCUUUUUCUAAGGCCUCAACGCCCCCUGAGAGAAUGCGUAAUCCUAAAAUGGUGGUCAUUUGGAAGGCCCAGAUUGAUGCUGGCCUAAGGCUUCCUCCCCCUGCUCUUUUGGCUGAGGUUUGCAACCAUUACCGUAUCCCCUUUUAUCAAGUCACCCCCUCUGCUAUCCGUAGGUUAUACGCCUUCCACAUCCUGUGCCGAGCUCACGGUGUUGGAGACACCGCC
Molecule: long non-coding RNA, 593 nt
Filed under: Salvia miltiorrhiza (redroot sage)
Lineage: Eukaryota; Viridiplantae; Streptophyta; Magnoliopsida; Lamiales; Lamiaceae
Description: long non-coding RNA (SMIL_LNC000831)
Source: RNAcentral